This 253-nucleotide ribosomal RNA is filed under the name uncultured bacterium. RNAcentral's name for it is "partial 16S ribosomal RNA". It matches the Rfam family "Bacterial small subunit ribosomal RNA", at positions 524 to 776 of the family's 1533-position model. The record is from RNAcentral.
UACGUAGGGGGCGAGCGUUAUCCGGAUUUACUGGGUGUAAAGGGCGUGUAGGCGGGACUGCAAGUCAGAUGUGAAAAUUAUGGGCUCAACCCAUAACCUGCAUUUGAAACUGUAGUUCUUGAGUGAUGGAGAGGCAGGCGGAAUUCCGUGUGUAGCGGUGAAAUGCGUAGAUAUACGGAGGAACACCAGUGGCGAAGGCGGCCUGCUGGACAUUAACUGACGCUGAGGCGCGAAAGCGUGGGGAGCAAACAGG